RNAcentral lists this ribosomal RNA (253 nucleotides) under uncultured bacterium. RNAcentral describes it as "partial 16S ribosomal RNA". It matches the Rfam family "Bacterial small subunit ribosomal RNA", at positions 524 to 776 of the family's 1533-position model. The record is from RNAcentral.
UACGUAGGGGGCAAGCGUUGUCCGGAAUCAUUGGGCGUAAAGAGCGUGUAGGCGGCCCGAUAAGUCCGCCGUGAAAGUCCAGGGCUCAACCCUGGAAUGCCGGUGGAAACUGUCGGGCUCGAGUCCGGAAGAGGCGAGUGGAAUUCCUGGUGUAGCGGUGAAAUGCGCAGAUAUCAGGAGGAACACCGAUGGCGAAGGCAGUUCUCUGGGACGGUACUGACGCUGAGACGCGAAAGCGUGGGGAGCGAACAGG